AAGGAAAGCUUGGCAGCGAAACAGGAUGCUUCCACCUGUUCCUCAAAGAGCUAUCAAACGGCCCUGUGAACAUCUCUGCAAAGGGUCCUCGCGAAUGCCAGGCCUCAAGUGCGAUUCUCUGCACUGAGGUCAGGAUUUAAUCUGGGCUGGAGAUUUCAGGCAAAUUUUAAAAUGUAAGCAUGUGGACAAGAGUUAACACCUGACAAGUCCAAGCCAAGCUGAAGAGCAUGGACAGAGGAGGCAACCUGGAGGUCCAACUUCUACUCCAUGCUCCACUCAGAUGUCACCUCCAGGAAGCCUUUCCUGACUUCGCCCAGACUGGGUAUGUGUCCCUCCCUGCUUCUCUCAAGGUUCACACUGUGCUUAUCUGAUUCCAGCACUCACCUCAUGGUGAUGAAGUCCUUUGCUUGUCUGUCUCCCUGCUACAGGGCAAGCUCCCUGAAGGCAGGAAUUGUUUCUUUCUCAUCUGUGUCCCCAAACCCCACUAAUGGCUGCCACACUGUCCUCAAUUAAGCCAUCCCAGAAAGGAGGAGCUAGUUGAGUGGAAGCAGGAUGGAGGAGGGCUCACUUCUAUGAA
Molecule: long non-coding RNA, 577 nt
Filed under: Pan troglodytes (chimpanzee)
Lineage: Eukaryota; Metazoa; Chordata; Mammalia; Primates; Hominidae
Description: long non-coding RNA NONPTRT010011
Source: RNAcentral